Molecule: ribosomal RNA, 312 nt
Filed under: uncultured soil bacterium
Lineage: Bacteria
Description: bacterial SSU rRNA
Rfam family: Bacterial small subunit ribosomal RNA
Source: RNAcentral
AGAUUGAACGCUAGCGGGAUGCUUUACACAUGCAAGUCGAACGGCAGCGCGGACUUCGGUCUGGCGGCGAGUGGCGAACGGGUGGAGUAAUAUAUCGGAACGUGCCCAGUAGCGGGGGAUAACUACGCGAAAGCGUGGCUAAUACCGCAUACGCCCUACGGGGGAAAGGGGGGAUUCUUCGGAACCUCUCACUAUUGGAGCGGCCGAUAUCAGAUUAGCUAGUUGGUGAGGUAAAGGCUCACCAAGGCGACGAUCUGUAGCUGGUUUGAGAGGGAUGACCAGCCACAUUGGGACUGAGACACGACCCAAACU